Molecule: ribosomal RNA, 422 nt
Filed under: uncultured bacterium
Lineage: Bacteria
Description: bacterial SSU rRNA
Rfam family: Bacterial small subunit ribosomal RNA
Source: RNAcentral
UAAGGAAUAUUGGUCAAUGGACGCAAGUCUGAACCAGCCAUGCCGCGUGGAGGAUGAAGGUCCUCUGGAUUGUAAACUUCUUUUAUCUGGGACGAAACACUUCUUUUCUAAGAGGCCUGACGGUACCAGAUGAAUAAGCACCGGCUAACUCCGUGCCAGCAGCCGCGGUAAUACGGAGGGUGCAAGCGUUAUCCGGAUUCACUGGGUUUAAAGGGUGCGUAGGUGGGUAUGUAAGUCAGUGGUGAAAUCCCCGAGCUUAACUUUGGAACUGCCAUUGAUACUAUAUAUCUUGAAUACCGUAGAGGUAAGCGGAAUAUGUCAUGUAGCGGUGAAAUGCUUAGAUAUGACAUGGAACACCAAUUGCGAAGGCAGCUUACUAUGCGGUGAUUGACACUGAGGCACGAAAGCGUGGGUAGCAAACA